GGUGGGCAAGAAUCGCUAUUUUGGUAAUCUUCGAUUCCGAUUCCAGAGGCUGUUGGAAUCGCUGGAAUCGAUUCCACCACUCUGCCAGCAGAGCUUGCCUCCCGGGCGGCGUGGGGCGCGGGACAGUGGCAGUGCGUCAUGUCAUACAGCAUUUCUCCCCUACUCUCUGCGUCCUCGAUAUCGGAAUCGUUUCAUGGCCUUCACGAUUCCGGAAUCGAUUCCACCACUCUGCCAUGGUGAACCAAGACACGAGUUUCCCCCUGAGAGCAUUAGCUAGACUGAUGCCGCAGGCAUCUGACAUCAAUCACCUGACGUCACAGGGUAUCGACCAAUCAAAUAUUGUUUUUCUCCCUUAAGGUGUCACUGCCCAGAUUCCAUUGGUUGCAUUGCCUUUUGUGUACAUCAAAUCUAGUGGAAUCGUCAGGCUAUGGAAUCGAUUCCAUCAGUUCUGUGGCGGAAUCGUUGGAAUCGAUUCCGGAAUCGUAUUUUGCCCAGGCUUAGAAUCGACUCCGGACUCCGUAGUCGUUAAGCGCCCAUCCCUAGUGUCAGCUGUGUGUGUGCGUGUGAUGCCUUGGUGUGUCGCCAUGGCGUGUCAGGGAAUGGCGGAAGGCAGCAUGCACUAACUUAAACACACUCUCCUGUCACCUGGCGAGGAGACGAGGUAACCAGUGACCAGCAGACGUAGAAAGAGGAGGCAGUGCCACAGACAGGGUACAGACCAGUGGGAGGUCACUGUGGCGACAAUGGCUGACGUGUUUUCCGUGAAGGACGCAACAAUCCUCCUCGCCAACAAAUUUGUUCAGCUUACUGGUAAUUGGAAAUUUAAAGUUUGGUCCCAAGGUGAUCAACCCCAAGCCACUGAUGAAACAGAUACCCAUCACUUGAGACAGAGUUUCACAAGCUCAGCAAUGAGAAGGCAGUGAAGAAUUGCUUCAAUGGCUCACAGCAGGACCUGAAGGCCAAGAUGGAGGUCCAGGCUAAUGAUGAAGACAACGACAAUAGAGGGCAUCUGUUUUGUGUGUAGGGUUGUGUUAUUGUGCAUCUUGGAGAGGUAGUGAGAAGAGGAGUAGGGCUAAGGUAAAGGAGUAUUUGUGUGAAGGAGGUAGUAGUUGUUGAGGCAAAUUGCUUGGAUAAGUUUGAAGGGAAUGUUGAUGGUCAUAUCUUCUGGUAUACUUGAUAGUAAUUGCCGUGUUCCGAUGAAUAUAGAUUGAGUUUUGUUAGCGUUUAACAUAAGGCCACUACUUAUAAAGUAAUUUUUGGCAGUCGACAGCGUUACUUUGGCUCUGGAGGUUAGUUGGUCUAAGUAAUUAAUAUUUUCACUGUGUAUAAACUGAGUGUCGUCUGCAUACUGAAGUACUAUGCAAUCGUUUACGAUUUCAAACAAGUCAUUGACAAAUAUAGAGAAAAGAAUGGGACCAAGUAUGGAACCUUGUGGAACUCCUUGUGUUACUAGGGAUUUGGUAGAUAUGUGGUUGUGUACUUUGACUGAUUGGGUUCUGUGAUAUAGGUAAUCUUGUAUCCAGAAAGGCUCGAUACGUAAUUUAUGACAUCUCUGCAGUAAAAUUUUGUGAUUAACGGUGUCGAAAGCCUUUGAUAAGUCGCAUAAAGUUAUCAUAGUUAUUUUCUUAUUAUCUAGGUUGCUAUAUACAUGGUUAGAUAUUACUGUGAAAGCAGUUUCGGUCGAUAAUUUUGGCCUGAAAGCAUGUUGAGUGUUAGAAAGUAACAAAUUCUCUUCUAGGUGGCCUGAGAGCUGCUUUGCUACAAUUUUCUCUAGAAUCUUUGAUAUUACUGGAAGGAGAGAUAUGGGUCUGUAAUUAGAGCUGAUGUUACUGUCUCCUCCUUUAAAGACCGGGACAACAGUUGCGUGUUUCCAGAGGGAGGGAAAUUUUCCUGAAGCGAUUAAGGUGUUGAAAGUACAAGUGAGGUAUAAAGGUGUAACAAAAAGGCUGUCUUUUAUGAAGCAUAAUGAGAUACCAUCGCUACCCACAGCUUUAGUUUCCUUUAGUGUUGAUACUGUCAGAAUUACGGUCUGGACAUCAACUGGUUGAGGUCUGAAGAAAAUUGUUACCAAGUUAUCAUCAGCAACUUGUAUUACGUUACCUAUGUUAUUGUUGCUGUUAGUUUGGGUCAGUUUUGCACUUUUCAAGUUUUUUUUCCUACAUUAGCAAAGAAGUUGUUGAACUCUUCCGCUUUGUCAUUAAUGUCUUUGUCUUCAAUAACGUUGUUGUGUGAUUUAUUCUUGGGCACGAUAUUUCUGAUGUUGUUCCACAUCUGUGCUGAGUUACCUUUACUUUCAUAAAACUUAUUGUGAUAAUAUGUCUGUUUCGCCUCUUGAAGUUUGUCUUUUACGUGUUUCUUUGCUUCUUUAUAUUUAUUAUAAAACUAUAUUUUGUCGAUCUCAUUUUAGCUUUGCUUGUAGAGUAUCUCUAUAAUUCAUCUUAUCUUUCAUUUCUUUGUUAAUCCAAGGAGUUGGUGGUCUAUUCAGUUGUUGUUGGGGCGACUUGGUCAAGAAAGGAAUUAAAAACUGUGAUGAGUAUGUUCACCUGCUCAUCAACGUCAUCGGUUAGUGUGAUGUUAUUCAAGAUGUGCAAGCUUUGUAGCAGCGCAUCACAGAAGUUAUCUCUGUUGUAUGUAGCCAUGCUUCUGAAUGUUUUCUUUAUUUUGGGUCGUUUAGGUUUGCUGAUGUCAACUUUUGAGAUAAUCAUGUUGUGAUCUGCAAUAGUACUGGGAAGGCAAUCAUGGUGAACAAUACUGUCUUUUUUAUUUGUGAUUAAAACAUCAAGUAGUGUUGCACAUUGAGUAGUGGUGCGGGUUGGUUUAUUUAUUAAUUGGAAUAGUCCACAUGCAUCAGUUAUUUUUCUUAGUUUGCUGUUAUUAACUAGGAGGUUAUCGUUAAGAUCACCAUGGGUUUCUUACGCAGAUUAACGUGCUUAAAAACUUCUGAAAGGUAAUCAUAUGAUGCGGCAGGAGCUUUAGGAUGUCUGUAUACGCACCCUACUAUGAUUGAUGGUAGUUUUGUGCAUUGAAUUGUAAUAUAUAUGUUAUCGAUCCCAAGACAGGGUUCAACGUUCGGUGAUAUUACUUUAGAACUUAAGUUCUAAAGUAAUAAAGUGGAGUGUGUAUAGACACACUUCACCUCCACGACCUUUAUUAUGUCUAAAUAAAUUAUAACCUGGUACUGUAAUUAGUUUAUCAGGUGUUUGUUGAGGAAGCGAGAACAUCAAUGUCCCAAUCAUGAAACAGUAGUUUUAUUUCAUUGAAACUCGAUAGGAGAGACUGUGCAUUGAUGUGCUCUAUGGAAUGACUAGCCUUAAUUUUAUCAUAACGUUUAGCAGCAGUGUCUUCGCCAAGGACCUAUUCUCCAUAAUAGUUACAUAGCUUAUUUUUAUGACCUAAUUGAUAACAUUUUGUACACUCUAUUUUAUGGUCAAACCUACAAUUGGUUUGUGUGAGAUUUGUCUCAUCACAGUUGUAGCACGCUCCUCAUCUGUAUGGAUUUGAUUGUGGUGGGGACGGUGGGGAGCCAUGGGUGUGGUGGCGGGACUGGCCGGUAGCAUGUCCAUGGGAAGGGUGUAGAUGAAAGUUGUCUGGACGGGAGUUGGAGGGAAGGUGCUGAGGAUUAGUGCACCUCCCCUCCCCAGGUGUGGGACCAGGUGCAGUCAGGUCACCAUCUCGCCUUUCGUGCUGUCCAGGUGGGGGAAGGUGGCGGGGAGGAUUAUAGUAGUGGGCAGGUCUGUUGGUAUGACCUGAGCCGCCUCGAUGUCGCCCAACUGUCCUCCAGCCGUCAAUGUCACCAUUUUCCAGCUUGAAUACUGGGUCAGACUUUAUAAUGAAGAUUCCAUUUUCAUUACCCCAUUUAAAGAUGUGUUCAUAAAAGUCGUUAAUCUUAGUCUGCAGUGUAUCGCUCUGCAAACUUGGCACCAGUUAUGCAAGUGUCUGGAAUCCAAGAUAGUUUUUUCUCUCGCCCAACAGCUAAUUAGUUCAUAGUUUGCCUCAGUUAACCCAUUCGCCCCGGAAGUUAGAAAACACGCAUCGCGAUCCAUCCGGGAGGCCCGCGCGCUCCAAGAUUUGAAGCUUUAUUGUUGAGUAAUCAAUGUUUUAGCCAUAAACUCAAUAUAUUCAUCACUUACUAUAUAUCAGGAUGUGUAAAAAUGUUUGUAUGUUACAAUACACUUUCCAUUGCUAUGCUAAAAAGGAAAACAAUACAAAAUUUUACUUUUUAUAUUUUAUUACUUUUUUUUUUUUAUUACAGUUCGGGAGAUUUCUCCCUGAAUCUCUGGUGGUGGUGCUGUGAUGGCGGAGGUGGAGGGGAGUGCGGUGAUGUCGGAGGUGGAAGGGUGUGGCCUGGUGGUGGUGAAGACUCACCUGGCUUGGCUUCACCUCAGGAUGGUCAGCCACUUCAGCCUCCAGCCCUCUGGAGAGUAAAGGAGCAGCACAGGCAAUCCACAUGGUCAUUACUCAAGUUGUGACCACAAUGCCAACACGGACGAGAUAUUGCAGUCAGAGGAGCGGUGUGGACAGCUGGCACCCCGUGUGGACCAGUUGCUGAUCAUCGCCACCCUUCAGUAUUGCUUGGUCCUCAACACAAAAGUGACCAACCUUAGCAUCAACAAGGAGGAAUGCAUCAAGAUAUAUCAAUCACUCACCAGGUGUUUGAGGACGGUCUUCAGCAGCUGGGCACCGAGGCAACAAGGGACAUGACAAGGGAUGUAGUGCAUGUACUCAUUCAUAUAAUCUUAAACCAUCGGCUCUCCCUGCUGAAGGACGUCACUCGGAUCAUUCGUGUCAUUGAUGUGCCAGUGGUGUGCAUUGUGGAAAAAGUGCAGUCCCUACAUAUUCAGGAAGUGGUGGUGGUGGUCCCUGAGUUUUGGACUAGUGGAAGGCAGAGCAGCACACUCUGACCACCCUACCAGUCUGCCGUGCAGCUCAACAAAGCCAUCCGCUUCCAGGAGGCCCGUGGCGAGGAGUGGGUCAGCCAUUCCAUCCGAACCAUCCACACAGCAGGAAAGGCAAACACAUAGACACGACCAGUGAGUGUGUGCUCCACCGGCUGCCACAAGCCUCCUUAGCACCUGCUGUGCCUCCACCCCAGCAGGGAUGGGGUCAGCAGGAGUGACCUGUCCCCACUGCAGCCCCUCACAGCAACCCUCUUCACUGGCAGCCGGCUCCUGGAUCACAGGUCAACGCACGUCUUGCUCUGUCAGUGUGGCUGGCCUGGAGAAGAGGUCGUUUACAGUGGAUGAGAGGACAAGGCAGUUUCUUGUGGAGUUGUGAGGUGAUGGUGGUGGUGAUAGAAUACCUGAUGGAGACACAGGGCCUGCAUGCAACACCCCCUCAGGCCAACACCUUCUGCAAUGACUGUGAUGUUUGUUAGCAAGCUGGUGGAGUCACAGGGCCAAGAGCAUAGGCCUCGUUGAGCAACGAAUGCAGUACGGCACUACGCGUUACGGGGAGUCAACUGUAGCACUGAGACCCCUUGGUCCUGGCCCUGGAGCUGCCUACCCAAUGUUCUCGUUAAGGCGUGGACACACUUGCCUAGAACAUUGCCCGAAACACUGCUCGACGCAUGAAGGAAACAUGUAACACGCAUGCUAGCAACAUGUCACUGACAGCACUGGGACAGUGUUUCGGCCACUGUUUCGGGCAAAGUCAUGGACAUGCUGGAAACAGAGGUGAAAUAGCUCGUAGCCUCGUCCACACCACUGCUACCACCAUGUCACAGGCAGAGCUGCCGACAUGAUGUGGACACUAGUGCCUCGAACACGUCUGUGACAAAGUUCGAGACAUGCUUCCUUCAUGCGUCGAGCAGUGUUUCGGGCAAUGUUCUAGGGCAAGUGUGUCCGCGCCUUUAUAUGUUGCCAUAUUAAUUGUUACUAAAGGUUCACGCAAAUCACAUCAUAUAUUCCAUCUUGUAUACAACCAACUGGUAUGCAUAUGCUCAGUUUGUACACACAUCUAAAAUUUUUCACAUGAACGUGUAAAUAAGCAAAAUAAGACAAGUGAUAUGGCAACUCAGAAAUGCCAGCUGACUGCAGCUCUGAUGGACGGGUACAGGACGUGUCCGAGUACUCGCGGCGCACCUAUGUGAUCCCCGCAGCGCAAAAGUGCGCCGCGGCACAGGUUGAGAAACACUGCUGUAGGCACUAUAGACCAAGACAUUAAAAGAAAGAAAAAUUGUUCUAAGGCAGAAAAGAUGGUGUUGGAGCUGGUGAGGAAUCAACAGCAUGUGUGGGACCCAAGACAUCCUCUAUAUAACAAGAAUGCCUUCAAAAAAGGAUGUUUUGUUGUUCAAACCAGAUUAAGUACAAUCAUCAAUUGCCAUUGAGUGUGUAUGACACAUGAAUUGUCUUGUAAUCUAUUAUUUAUCAAUAUCUAAAAUCUAGUUUUGCAAGGUAUGGACCUAUUAUUCUUUCAGUUUCACUUUUUAAAGCAAAUGCUGCAAAUUUCAUGUUCCUUUUGCUACUGUAGGGAAAGGAAUGACUCGUGCUGUUCCAGGCAAAUUUUCAGUUUUAAAUGUUCAUUAAUAACUAGCAUCACCUCCAAGGUGGUGAUGCUCAUGUUUGUUCUGCUGUCCAAGUCAGGUGGAAAGUGUCUAAUGAAUGGGUAAUAGUGAAUAUUUCUUGUCUUUUUCUACAAUAUCUCAAGAAAAGUUAAACUUGCAGCAUUUAUGUAAAAAAAGUGAAAGUGCAGGAUUGUGCAGAACUGUGCGAGUUGCAGGUAUUUGAAGGUUUGAAGUAUUGGGUUAAUAUUAGAUAAUAGUAAUACUGAUGAUGUGUUAUGUGCUCAUAAUGACAAUUGAUGAUUCUGCUUACGUUGCUUGCAAUAUCAGCCCCAUAGACCCUUCAAUACUGAAGUUUGAGCAAAGAUAACUAAAAGGUGUGGAGCAUGGACACUAGACAGACUCAUUUGACACUGCUAGCCAGCCACUACUUCUCACUUCCUAGCCACUGUAGUGUGAAUACAUUCCGACUGGGAGUGGUCACUAAGAUUCCAGCGGCUGACAAUUCCAGCCAUACAUUGCCACGUGUGAAUCUGCCUCAAAAGGUAGAUGGUUUGAGAAUGUUGCAGUUUGAUGUGGGGAUAUUGAAAGUAAGUUUGUUUGUGUAGUAAGUAGAAACUAGUGAAAUUUAAUGCCAAUUAUGUUUGUAUACUCGUAAAAUUUAUGGAAUGCUAAGAAAUGGGUUAUGAAAGGAAAUUGUAAUGAUGAAAUGCUAAUUCUUUGAGAAGCUAAGAUAAGACAAAUAAUUUCUGCAUCCUUGUAUUUCUAAUAAUGGAUAGGUACUUAGAGGAGUACAGAGACAAGGUUAAUACUCAAGUAAAAUACUUUACAAGAAUAGCGAUAUACAUCAUCAAAGUUUUUGAUGUUGAAAUUUGCAAAGACAGGAUAGAUUAUUAAUUACAGAAAAAAUAUUGGAAUAGAAACAAGUGGAAGUGUGUGUCUCAAUAUAAUGUAGCAGUAGAGAUAAAAAAGAAAUCAAAGCUUUUAACAUUGAAAUGUAAGAGGAUAUCAUAGAUACUAAAAAAAGGAGAAAUAUGACUAAAUAUUAACUUGGUAAAGCAGUAGAGAUGAAAACGAUGAAAUCAACAAAUCUUGAAUACUGAAGUUUAGGAGGAAAGGAGAGAUAAUGUGAGUGGGUAUUGCUAUUCACCUCAACCUGAAUCAUUAUAUCCUGUUCACAGUGAGAAGAUUUGUCUAUCUAUAGGUCAGCCUGGCAAUUCCACACUGCUUGGACAGAUAGAUGGAUGAUUUCUGCACAUGAACAGGAUAACCAACUGGAUAAAAGGGCUGAACAGUGAUGGAUGUCAUAAGUAAAUGACACUGUUAUUGUCACAGGAAGUAGUGAGACAGAAAGAGUUUAAUAUAAUACACAAAGUUUAUUCAUGUGAGAAAUUGUUAUUGUGGUGACUUACAUAAUUACAUUUGUGAGUAUGACAAUCUAUAUAUUUGUACAGUACAUACAUCCAUUGUUAAUUACGAUGUAUGUGUGUAUGUUUGUUUAUCAAGUUGUGUACAUACAUUUCCUGUAUAGAAGAAUGUUGAUUUUGUUAGAGAAAGGUAUAGUGUCUUGCUUGUAGAGAAAUGUCUGUAAAUGCCUGUAAAUAUUUGUUUACCUGCAUGUAUAUCAAAUGUUUGUAAUGAAGGUUUACUUUGA
This is a long non-coding RNA of Portunus trituberculatus (swimming crab), 8153 nucleotides long. RefSeq lists it as uncharacterized. The record is from RefSeq and is a predicted model, not a curated record. The transcript has 10 exons. NCBI's taxonomy places the organism in Eukaryota, Metazoa, Arthropoda, Malacostraca, Decapoda, Portunidae.